CCUACGGGCGGCAGCAGUGGGGAAUAUUGCACAAUGGGCGCAAGCCUGAUGCAGCCAUGCCGCGUGUGUGAAGAAGGCCUUCGGGUUGUAAAGCACUUUCGGCGGGGAGGAAGGCGUUAAGGUUAAUAACCUUGUCGAUUGACGUUACCCGCAGAAGAAGCACCGGCUAACUCCGUGCCAGCAGCCGCGGUAAUACGGAGGGUGCAAGCGUUAAUCGGAAUUACUGGGCGUAAAGCGCACGCAGGCGGUCUGUCAAGUCGGAUGUGAAAUCCCCGGGCUCAACCUGGGAACUGCAUUCGAAACUGGCAGGCUAGAGUCUUGUAGAGGGGGGUAGAAUUCCAGGUGUAGCGGUGAAAUGCGUAGAGAUCUGGAGGAAUACCGGUGGCGAAGGCGGCCCCCUGGACAAAGACUGACGCUCAGGUGCGAAAGCGUGGGGAGCAAACAGGAUUAGAUACCCCAGUAGUC
RNAcentral lists this ribosomal RNA (465 nucleotides) under uncultured Klebsiella sp. RNAcentral describes it as "bacterial SSU rRNA". It matches the Rfam family "Bacterial small subunit ribosomal RNA", at positions 338 to 795 of the family's 1533-position model. The record is from RNAcentral. Lineage: Bacteria; Pseudomonadati; Pseudomonadota; Gammaproteobacteria; Enterobacterales; Enterobacteriaceae.